UACGUAGGGGGCUAGCGUUGUUCGGAAUUACUGGGCGUAAAGCGCACGUAGGCGGAUUGGAAAGUCAGAGGUGAAAUCCCGGGGCUCAACCCCGGAAUGGCCUUUGAAACUCCCAGUCUUGAGGUCGAGAGAGGUGAGUGGAAUUCCGAGUGUAGAGGUGAAAUUCGUAGAUAUUCGGAGGAACACCAGUGGCGAAGGCGGCUCACUGGCUCGAUACUGACGCUGAGGUGCGAAAGCGUGGGGAGCAAACAGG
This 253-nucleotide ribosomal RNA is filed under the name uncultured bacterium. RNAcentral's name for it is "partial 16S ribosomal RNA". It matches the Rfam family "Bacterial small subunit ribosomal RNA", at positions 524 to 776 of the family's 1533-position model. The record is from RNAcentral.